AUUGAACGCUAGCGGGAUGCCUUACACAUGCAAGUCGAACGGCAGCACGGACUUCGGUCUGGUGGCGAGUGGCGAACGGGUGAGUAAUGUAUCGGAACGUGCCCAGUAGCGGGGGAUAACUACGCGAAAGCGUAGCUAAUACCGCAUACGCCCUACGGGGGAAAGCAGGGGAUCGCAAGACCUUGCACUAUUGGAGCGGCCGAUAUCGGAUUAGCUAGUUGGUGGGGUAACGGCUCACCAAGGCGACGAUCCGUAGCUGGUUUGAGAGGACGACCAGCCACACUGGGACUGAGACACGGCCCAG
This 304-nucleotide ribosomal RNA is filed under the name uncultured bacterium. Its description in RNAcentral is "bacterial SSU rRNA". It matches the Rfam family "Bacterial small subunit ribosomal RNA", at positions 30 to 334 of the family's 1533-position model. The record is from RNAcentral.